GAUGAACGCUGGCGGCGUGCUUAACACAUGCAAGUCGAACGGAAAGGCCCUGCUUUUGUGGGGUGCUCGAGUGGCGAACGGGUGAGUAACACGUGAGUAACCUGCCCUUGACUUUGGGAUAACUUCAGGAAACUGGGGCUAAUACCGGAUAGGAGCUCCUGCUGCAUGGUGGGGGUUGGAAAGUUUCGGCGGUUGGGGAUGGACUCGCGGCUUAUCAGCUUGUUGGUGGGGUAGUGGCUUACCAAGGCUUUGACGGGUAGCCGGCCUGAGAGGGUGACCGGCCACAUUGGGACUGAGAGACGGCCCAGACUCCUACGGGAGGCAGCAGUGGGGAAUAUUGCACAAUGGGCGGAAGCCUGAUGCAGCAACGCCGCGUGCGGGAUGACGGCCUUCGGGUUGUAAACCGCUUUCGCCUGUGACGAAGCGUGAGUGACGGUAAUGGGUAAAGAAGCACCGGCUAACUAUGUG
Molecule: ribosomal RNA, 468 nt
Filed under: uncultured bacterium
Lineage: Bacteria
Description: partial 16S ribosomal RNA
Rfam family: Bacterial small subunit ribosomal RNA
Source: RNAcentral